UACAGAGGUCCCAAGCGUUGUCCGGAAUUAUUGGGCGUAAAGCGCGCGCAGGCGGUCCUUUAAGUCUGAUGUGAAAGCCCACGGCUCAACCGUGGAGGGUCAUUGGAAACUGGGGGACUUGAGUGCAGGAGAGAAGAGUGGAAUUCCACGUGUAGCGGUGAAAUGCGUAGAGAUGUGGAGGAACACCAGUGGCGAAGGCGACUCUUUGGUCUGUAACUGACGCUGAGGCGCGAAAGCGUGGGGAGCAAACAGG
This 253-nucleotide ribosomal RNA is filed under the name uncultured bacterium. RNAcentral describes it as "partial 16S ribosomal RNA". It matches the Rfam family "Bacterial small subunit ribosomal RNA", at positions 524 to 776 of the family's 1533-position model. The record is from RNAcentral.